UCGAGAAUCAUUCACAAUGGGGGCAACCCUGAUGGUGCGACGCCGCGUGGGGGAAGAAGGCCUUCGGGUCGUAAACCCCUGUCAUGUGGGAGCAAAUUAAAAAGAUAGUACCACAAGAGGAAGAGACGGCUAACUCUGUGCCAGCAGCCGCGGUAAUACAGAGGUCUCAAGCGUUGUUCGGAAUCACUGGGCGUAAAGCGUACGUAGGCUGCCGAGUAAGUCAGGUGUGAAAGGCGAGGGCUCAACCUUCGGACUGCACAUGAUACUGCCCGGCUAGAGAAAUGGAGGGGAAACCGGAAUUCUCGGUGUAGCAGUGAAAUGCGUAGAUAUCGAGAAGAACACUCGUGGCGAAGGCGGGUUUCUGGACAUUAACUGACGCUGAGGUACGAAGGCUAGGGUAGCGAAAGGG
RNAcentral lists this ribosomal RNA (409 nucleotides) under uncultured bacterium. RNAcentral describes it as "bacterial SSU rRNA". It matches the Rfam family "Bacterial small subunit ribosomal RNA", at positions 355 to 776 of the family's 1533-position model. The record is from RNAcentral.